CUUUAGCGCCCGACCGCCGAAAAACAGUUCACGGCGGCGACGAGGAACAGGGUUAUCGAAUAUUCGGCGGAUGCCCUGACGGCAGUGCGGUUACUGUCGGAAAUUUCUGUUUCAAAAAUCCGUAUGACACUUCAAAAAAAGUUUU
RNAcentral lists this non-coding RNA (145 nucleotides) under human gut metagenome. Its description in RNAcentral is "glmS glucosamine-6-phosphate activated ribozyme". It matches the Rfam family "glmS glucosamine-6-phosphate activated ribozyme aptamer". From Rfam's summary of the family: This entry contains a glucosamine-6-phosphate activated ribozyme that is found in the mRNA for GlmS. GlmS is an enzyme that uses fructose-6-phosphate and glutamine to generate glucosamine-6-phosphate. The ribozyme catalyses self cleavage of the glmS mRNA that is thought to regulate GlmS activity. The record is from RNAcentral.